RNAcentral lists this ribosomal RNA (495 nucleotides) under uncultured bacterium. RNAcentral's name for it is "partial 16S ribosomal RNA". It matches the Rfam family "Bacterial small subunit ribosomal RNA", at positions 30 to 507 of the family's 1533-position model. The record is from RNAcentral.
UGAACGCUGGCGGCGUGCCUAAUACAUGCAAGUCGCGCGAACGGACGAGAAGCUUGCUUCUCUGAUGUUAGCGGCGGACGGGUGAGUAACACGUGGAUAGCCUACCUAUAAGACUGGGAUAACUUCGGGAAACCGGAGCUAAUACCGGAUAAUAUUUUGAACCGCAUGGUUCAAAAGUGAAAGACGGUCUUGCUGUCACUUAUAGAUGGAUCCGCGCUGCAUUAGCUAGUUGGUAAGGUAACGGCUUACCAAGGCAACGAUGCAUAGCCGACCUGAGAGGGUGAUCGGCCACACUGGAACUGAGACACGGUCCAGACUCCUACGGGAGGCAGCAGUAGGGAAUCUUCCGCAAUGGGCGAAAGCCUGACGGAGCAACGCCGCGUGAGUGAUGAAGGUCUUCGGAUCGUAAAACUCUGUUAUUAGGGAAGAACAUAUGUGUAAGUAACUGUGCACAUCUUGACGGUACCUAAUCAGAAAGCCACGGCUAACUACGUG